UUAUCGUAUGGCAUUCGUUUACACUGCGUGGUUAUAAUUGAAAUUUACAGUUUGUGAUUAGGGUUUUAUAAUUGACGCAGUGCAGUUGGAACCGGGACAUCCUCAGGAGGACAGUUCGGUUGCCAGGUUGUUGCACUAUUAGCAACACCCAGGGGACACGUGUAGGGUAGCGGUAGGUAAUCUCCUACGGACGUUAUACCCCAUAUUGUAGGUAUAUCAAAUUAUGGAAAGAAGAAAUUUCAUAUUUUUAUUUCUUAGAUUAAUGAACGUGCAUGACCUGCCUGGUGUGCAGGGGCUACCGAAGUCCGCAGAUUAACAACUCGCAACCGCCAUUCGAGCAGCCGAGGACCGGACGAGAUGGAAACAGCUCACGAGACAGGCAAGGGUCAAGUUUCAGGGACACGACCUUCAGUAAUGAAGAAAGCGACGAAGAAGAAGAAGUCCAAGUUCGGAGAUGUUUAAAGUUAAUCUAAACUUCUAAACAUCUAAACUUCGCGUUUUAGUAUUUUGAAUUUUAACAUGUCGCCUCUUUGCUUCAACGGUGUGUUAUCUUGAAAAUUGCAAUUUUAGAGGAGAGCGAUGUUUAACUUUCAAAAAAUUAUUGUGUCAAAACUAAAAAAAAAUUUACGGUCGUUCUACGAAUUAUUGUAAAUUAUAACUAAUAAACUACGUGGAAAUUUUAACAAAAUACAGUUAGUUUAGAAGUUUAAUAAGAAAUUUUCCAUAUUUAAAAUAAAAGAGGAAAAUAUGUCACAUUGUUCUAGCAAAUAUAUAGAAAGAUAAGUGUUACAAACCAAAGUUUCACGAUUUUGAUGAUAUAGCUUUGACUUUGAUACUGAGUUAUAUAAUGAACAAUCACUGUUUAAAAAAAAAAUUGUUGAAUUUCAGAAUCAAUCUUUAUUGGCAAUAGUGUUUCCAAACCUACAAUUUGUUUCACAAAAUAAAGAGAAAGACAUCAAAAAUAA
This is a long non-coding RNA of Bombyx mori (domestic silkworm), 965 nucleotides long. RefSeq lists it as uncharacterized. The transcript is spliced from 2 exons. Lineage: Eukaryota; Metazoa; Arthropoda; Insecta; Lepidoptera; Bombycidae. The record is from RefSeq and is a predicted model, not a curated record.